Molecule: long non-coding RNA, 1268 nt
Filed under: Homo sapiens (human)
Lineage: Eukaryota; Metazoa; Chordata; Mammalia; Primates; Hominidae
Description: non-protein coding LINC01896:33
Source: RNAcentral
CUCUCUCCCCGAGCGGCCGCCAGGAUGUGCCCCCGGCCCCGUCGUCGCCGCGCCCGCGCCCCUCGCCCCAGUACGUCUUUUUUCGUUUCCUAAAUUUCUUAUUUUUGUCCUUGCAAGUGGUCCUGUCUGGUGUGAACCGUCAGCACAGAUGGCCUCCUGGAGCUUCCCCGAGUCGUUCGCUGGGGGAAGCGGGCGGUGAGCGGCCAGCCCGGGCGCUCCGCAGGCCGCGAGCUCCCGGCAGGGCUGGUGGCGGGGGUCCGCCUGGGGGAGGAAUCCCCGCCUGCUCCAUCGGACCCGGCCUGGCGCGGCUCGCGGCGCUCGGCGGGCUCCCUUCCAUUCUAGAAUCUUCCCGCUUGCUUCCCAGCCCGCGUUCUUCCGCCUGCCUUUAAUUGUGUGUGGACGUGGGGAGGAUCUUCUAAGUCCCUCCAACGAAGGCAAGUGUGAGACUCUGGCCCUUUAUUUGUAAGAAGCAAGCCUUCAGAUUGCAGAAGUGUCGCGCGGGUCGCCGUGCGUUGCGCGAGUGGGAAGAUGGAGGAGGCCGGCACGCUGCUUUCGUGGACGCAAGUGAACCGGGCGUGAAGGCAGGGUGCGAGCUCUGCCCUUGGCCCAGCCCUGCGUGGGCGCCGUCCCAGAUUCCGGGCGGUGCGGGGUGCAGAGAUCUGGAGAGACUUGCGGGCUCCCCAGCGCAGGCUGCUCUGGGAUUUCGUUGGAAGAUCCGGCAGAGCCUUGGAGGAGAGGGCCCGGGAGGCUGUGUGUGCAGCGGAAACUUGUACGAAUGCCCCCACAGCGGAAAUGGUGCGCACGAGUAAUUUCUGCGGUGCACCCUUUUAAAAAUUGACAAGUGAACAAGAUCAAUUUUUUAAGAAAGCAAAGGUAGAAAACAAAAGGCGUGCGACUUCUUGACUGGCUUGUUCCCGCCUUUCUUCCUUCUCUAUACUCAGAUCAGAAACUUUUCUUUAAUUGCUCUUAUUCAGUGCGACAACUUUUAAUAAAAGCAUUUGCAUUUUAAGCCUGAGUUGCAACCAUAGAUUUAUUGCGAAGUGACAACGUGUCUAUGGAAUAUUUUCGCAGAUGAGACAGGACAUGCGCUCUAGUCGUGCCCAGAUUAAAGCGACGCUGGGCCAUGUGCCUGUGUAGUGCAGACUCGGAGGGGCACACACAUACUCGUCACCACAUGACCACUGUCUAUUAAUAUUGUCAUACCUAAACACUCGCAAAAACAAAAGUUGCUUUUCUUCCCUGUAAUUAAAUCUAAUUUGUUAAUUGUC